CUUGCUUCUCUUGAGAGCGGCGGACGGGUGAGUAAUGCCUAGGAAUCUGCCUGGUAGUGGGGGAUAACGUCCGGAAACGGACGCUAAUACCGCAUACGUCCUACGGGAGAAAGCAGGGGACCUUCGGGCCUUGCGCUAUCAGAUGAGCCUAGGUCGGAUUAGCUAGUUGGUGGGGUAAUGGCUCACCAAGGCGACGAUCCGUAACUGGUCUGAGAGGAUGAUCAGUCACACUGGAACUGAGACACGGUCCAGACUCCUACGGGAGGCAGCAGUGGGGAAUAUUGGACAAUGGGCGAAAGCCUGAUCCAGCCAUGCCGCGUGUGUGAAGAAGGUCUUCGGAUUGUAAAGCACUUUAAGUUGGGAGGAAGGGCAGUAAAUUAAUACUUGGCUGUUUUGACGUUACCGACAGAAUAAGCACCGGCUAACUCUGUGCCAGCAGCCGCGGUAAUACAGAGGGUGCAAGCGUUAAUCGGAAUUACUGGGCGUAAAGCGCGCGUAGGUGGUUCGUUAAGUUGGAUGUGAAAUCCCCGGGCUCAACCUGGGAACUGCAUUCAAAACUGACGAGCUAGAGUAUGG
Molecule: ribosomal RNA, 576 nt
Filed under: uncultured bacterium
Lineage: Bacteria
Description: bacterial SSU rRNA
Rfam family: Bacterial small subunit ribosomal RNA
Source: RNAcentral